RNAcentral lists this ribosomal RNA (253 nucleotides) under uncultured bacterium. Its description in RNAcentral is "partial 16S ribosomal RNA". It matches the Rfam family "Bacterial small subunit ribosomal RNA", at positions 524 to 776 of the family's 1533-position model. The record is from RNAcentral.
UACGAAGGGGGCUAGCGUUGCUCGGAAUGACUGGGCGUAAAGGGCGCGUAGGCGGAUGUUACAGUCAGGCGUGAAAUUCCUGGGCUCAACCUGGGGGCUGCGUUUGAUACAUGAUGUCUGGAGUUCGGAAGAGGGUCGUGGAAUUCCCAGUGUAGAGGUGAAAUUCGUAGAUAUUGGGAAGAACACCGGUGGCGAAGGCGGCGACCUGGUCCUGGACUGACGCUGAGGCGCGAAAGCGUGGGGAGCAAACAGG